UACGUAGGCAGCGAGCGUUGUUCGGAGUUACUGGGCGUAAAGAGUGCGUAGGCGGUUUUCUAAGUUUGGUGUGAAAUCUCCCGGCUUAACUGGGAGGGUGCGCCGAAAACUGGAGAGCUGGAGUGUGGGAGAGGUAAGCGGAAUUCCUGGUGUAGCGGUGAAAUGCGUAGAUAUCAGGAGGAACACCUGCGGUGUAGACGGCUUACUGGACCAUAACUGACGCUGAGGCACGAAAGCGUGGGUAGCAAACAGG
RNAcentral lists this ribosomal RNA (253 nucleotides) under uncultured bacterium. Its description in RNAcentral is "partial 16S ribosomal RNA". It matches the Rfam family "Bacterial small subunit ribosomal RNA", at positions 524 to 776 of the family's 1533-position model. The record is from RNAcentral.